GUGGGGAAUCUUCCGCAAUGGACGAAAGUCUGACGGAGCGACGCCGCGUGAGUGAAGAAGGCCUUCGGGUCGUAAAGCUCUGUCAUCAGGGACGAACGGCCGGUGGAGUGGAAAGCCACCGGAUUGACGGUACCUGAGAAGGAAGCCACGGCUAACUACGUGCCAGCAGCCGCGGUAAUACGUAGGUGGCAAGCGUUGUCCGGAAUUAUUGGGCGUAAAGCGCGCGCAGGUGGGAUCUUAAGUCCAUUUUGAAAGUUCGGAGCUCAACUCCGUGAUGGGAUGGAAACUGGGAUUCUUGAGUACCGGAGAGGAAAGCGGAAUUCCCCGUGUAGCGGUGAAAUGCGUAGAUAUGGGGAGGAACACCAGUGGCGAAGGCGGCUUUCUGGACGGUGUCUGACACUGAGGCGCGAAAGCCAGGGGAGCGAACGGGAUUAGAUACCCUGGUAGUCC
Molecule: ribosomal RNA, 450 nt
Filed under: uncultured bacterium
Lineage: Bacteria
Description: partial 16S ribosomal RNA
Rfam family: Bacterial small subunit ribosomal RNA
Source: RNAcentral